GCAGGAGCCAACUCCCCCACGGAUGGGGGGUGUACGUCAGGAUUACAGAAUGAUCCAGCACGUAGAAUUGUGUAACACAGAGGACUGAUAGGUAACGUAUACCGGACCUUAGAAUGGCCGGACUAACGUACCAAAGAAUAGUCAGGAAUAGCCGAGGUCAAGGGACACAGAAACAGACACAACAAUAAGGAACAGCAUGGGGUCAGGGAUGCCAGAAAAC
Molecule: non-coding RNA, 220 nt
Organism: Pelobates cultripes (western spadefoot toad)
Lineage: Eukaryota; Metazoa; Chordata; Amphibia; Anura; Pelobatidae
Source: the annotation of a GenBank genome assembly